Molecule: ribosomal RNA, 497 nt
Filed under: uncultured bacterium
Lineage: Bacteria
Description: partial 16S ribosomal RNA
Rfam family: Bacterial small subunit ribosomal RNA
Source: RNAcentral
GAUGAACGCUGGCGGCGUGCCUAAUACAUGCAAGUCGAGCGAACAGACGAGGAGCUUGCUCCUCUGACGUUAGCGGCGGACGGGUGAGUAACACGUGGAUAACCUACCUAUAAGACUGGGAUAACUUCGGGAAACCGGAGCUAAUACCGGAUAAUAUAUUGAACCGCAUGGUUCAAUAGUGAAAGACGGUUUUGCUGUCACUUAUAGAUGGAUCCGCGCCGCAUUAGCUAGUUGGUAAGGUAACGGCUUACCAAGGCAACGAUGCGUAGCCGACCUGAGAGGGUGAUCGGCCACACUGGAACUGAGGCACGGUUCAGACUCCUACGGGAGGCAGCAGUAGGGAAUCUUCCGCAAUGGGCGAAAGCCUGACGGAGCAACGCCGCGUGAGUGAUGAAGGUCUUCGGAUCGUAAAACUCUGUUAUUAGGGAAGAACAAAUGUGUAAGUAACUAUGCACGUCUUGACGGUACCUAAUCAGAAAGCCACGGCUAACUACGUG